CCUUAAAACAACAACAACAAAAAUCCUGGGUGUUGGGACUGUGCUCUGUGGGUUAACCCUCAGAGGGACUUAAAAUCUGCUUACUGAGUUUAACAAAAAUAACACUUUUCAUAUUUACUGAGUAUUUUCUACCAGCAGAAAGUCUGGUUAGCUGUUAUUAAUAUGGGCCAAGUAUUGUCCUAAGCACUUUUCAGAACUCAUUCAUCUUAUGCUCACAACCAACCCCACGAGGUAGGCACCACCCUCACCCACAUUUUAUAGGAGAAGAAACUGAGGGGCAGAGUGGCUAAGUUACUUGCCCAAGGACAUGAAAUGAGUAAUUCAAGAGCUCGGAUUCCUCUCCUGCUGGUCUUGCUUCACACCUCCUGCUCCAGCAACUACCCUAGACUGCCAGUCAUUUGAGAGUUGCUGUUGUCUUGCACCUAUUUUCUCAUGGCAGGAUUUCUCUUAUUUCAUGCAGGGAAGAAGCAGGAAGGAGGUCUGAAAGGGGGGAUAACACUGAAACUUUGCCAGCUCUCUGCCUUUGGCCAGAAGGGGAGUCGGGGGUCUGGCUUCAACAAUUUCAUAUAAAAACAUUCCACAGAACAACGAACCUGACUCAUGGAAAAUGAGAAAACUAACAUGGCCCAACCUCUUCGCAACGUCCUAGCAGUUUUAGUCCACAUUUUAACCCAGUGCUUCGCAUUACCUGGAUUUUACACGCAGAGAAACCGAGGCUGAGGAAGGAUAAAUUUGCCAGGAGGUGGUGGAGUCUGGGUUGGAAUGUAAGUCUGUCUGUCUUCAAUGCCUGUGCUUUUUAAAUUCUAUGACUAAUAAACACGAAAACGCUAUGGA
This is a long non-coding RNA of Phacochoerus africanus (Common warthog), 834 nucleotides long. RefSeq lists it as uncharacterized. The transcript is spliced from 2 exons. NCBI's taxonomy places the organism in Eukaryota, Metazoa, Chordata, Mammalia, Artiodactyla, Suidae. The record is from RefSeq and is a predicted model, not a curated record.